GACGAACGCUGGCGGCGUGCCUAAUACAUGCAAGUAGAACGCUGAAGGAAGGAGCUUGCUCUUUCCGGAUGAGUUGCGAACGGGUGAGUAACGCGUAGGUAACCUGCCUGGUAGCGGGGGAUAACUAUUGGAAACGAUAGCUAAUACCGCAUAACAGUAGAUAUCGCAUGAUAUGUGCUUAAAAGGUGCAAUUGCACCACUACCAGAUGGACCUGCGUUGUAUUAGCUAGUUGGUGAGGUAACGGCUCACCAAGGCGACGAUACAUAGCCGACCUGAGAGGGUGAUCGGCCACACUGGGACUGAGACACGGCCCAGACUCCUACGGGAGGCAGCAGUAGGGAAUCUUCGGCAAUGGACGGAAGUCUGACCGAGCAACGCCGCGUGAGUGAAGAAGGUUUUCGGAUCGUAAAGCUCUGUUGUAAGAGAAGAACGAGUGUGAGAGUGGAAAGUUCA
Molecule: ribosomal RNA, 454 nt
Filed under: Streptococcus infantis
Lineage: Bacteria; Bacillati; Bacillota; Bacilli; Lactobacillales; Streptococcaceae
Description: bacterial SSU rRNA
Rfam family: Bacterial small subunit ribosomal RNA
Source: RNAcentral